UCAGCAAUGAUUACGCUUACAGCAGGGCAUUGUCGUUAGCCCAGACGCUCGGCCAGCAGGGAGACGGGUAAAACGAGGACACAAGCACCAGGCAACGAGGCUGGCCCAUUAGCCGCAGAAGCAGUGGCAGAAAAAAAGGACACCAACCAGCAGUCGCCAAGCAUCAAAUUAUGCGGAACUGCAUUUUUACUUUUGGCAUGGAAAAUGCACACGAUUUGCAGUAAACGGAGAGCAGAGAGAAUACUUAUGAAUGGCUGAGUGCAGAUGGAUUCUAGUCAAGUAUAUGGAAACUGUGGUAGCAUCUGCUUCUGGUUGUAUGCAAUAAGUGUCGUGUGUUCUGCGUCCUGCCACUGUCUGGAUGCAAAUUUUUCGCACACGAUAUCGAAAAUCUCGAGAACUGCAGCCAAUCAACUGGAAAUUACCAAGCGUCGAGUUAAGUGCCCAACAGCAUCAACUCGCAGCGCACAGCUGAAUUGAUAACAGAUAUUGUGCAACAACAACAGACAGCAAGCAACAACAACAAUAGCAACAACCGCGAAGGGCGAUAAGCGGCUCGCUGCUCGCUGCUCGCGGCUUGCGGCGUGCGGCUUGCGGCCUCGCGGUUGUCGACUGCAAAACUUGAAGCUGCCGGUGGGGCGGCCAGUUCUUGUGACCGGCCAGCGUGGGCGUGGCAGCUGCUAAUGCGUGCACUAUAGUGCGCCCUGUUGCACCAACGGCAGCGUUGCCAGCUGAUGCCGUUUCUAACUAGUCGUACCACACCGAAAAUCCGUAGCCGGGCGAGGCGAAAGAGCCAGAGCGAUGCGACGGCGCGUGAGAGUGAGAGAGCCAAAUGCGGUUGCUGCGGCCAUUUUGGUGGGAGCGAGCACGACAUAGUCAAUAUUAAUGACAACAACAAAGGCGGCAACGUCGACGCAGUCGUCGGCAGCAACGACAACUGCAAAGAAGACGUCGACGUCGACCGCGACAGAGACCGCAGCUGCAGCUGGUCAGCGGCCCUGUUCUUGGAGACUUUGCCAGCUCCGCGACCUCAGAGUGUUUGGCUGUGUGCGUCUGUGUGCUGGAAUUUGGCGGCUGCGGCUCUAGAGAAUCUGCCACUGCUUGUGCCUAUGUGUGCGUGAAGCUUGAGCGAAAACUUUUGAGUGAAAGAAUGCCGAGUGUCCAAAGAUUUGAAUCUAGAGUUUCCACUCAUUCUCCCGGUUGGAACACUAAUCUUUUUAUUUAUUCUGAUUAUGAUUAUUAUUUUGAUUUUUAUUUCUGUAUAUUUUUUGGUUUUAUAACAUUUGCAGAUACAGUAAUUUCCGGAUUGUGCUAUUAAAAAAUACACUUCAAAGCACCAAGGCUGCACAUCUUUAUUUCAACUCUUCGACUUCCUACUUGUGAUGCAACCUGUCGCAUGUGGAUUUCGAGCUCCUUUGCUUUCGGCGAUUUAACGAUUUUAUGGUUUCUUUCGGUCCUAUUCAACGGCUUUAAGCCACGUCACACAACAUUGCACCCACUCGCACUCGCACUCGCACUCGAACAGGCACAGUCACACACACAUGCAGGGUUUACGAUCCUAGCAUCACCUUCUAGGCUGAAGACCAGGCCCGAACGAACAAGGCAGGCGUCGAAUAGUGUUUUAUUGUGAUUUUUUUUCAUGUUUAUUAUUAUUUGCUGCUCCUCUCACCCAGUUUCAAUUUUAUUAGUUUAUUACGGUUAUUAUCUUUUAAUGACGCGCGCGAGCGCCGUCAGCCGAGGUUCGGGUUGUUAUUGUUGUUUUUAUAUCGCAGUCGAUUAGUUGCCCCUGUUGUUGCUCUCAUGCCCAGUUAUUUAGCAAUAACGUGUGAAGUUGUUUUAUUAUUUGUUUUGAUUAUCAAAAUGGCCAGUUUCUAUUUUCCGGUCGUUGGGCGACCUCUUCCGCCCCUUCCCAGCGCCAUUACGUUCCGGUAGCAUGCAGGUGCUGUAAAUCACAACACGUCGGCAGCGAUCUGACUGCACUCAAAGUGGCAGUCACUCACAGCAGCAGCUCAACUUGUGACUGACUUGUAUGACCAAUAAAGCAAUUAAUUUUUAACAGUUGCUGCUGUUGCUGCUGCUGCUGCUGUUGCCGCCAGGGGCUUUGGAACCCCCAGCUGAUCCGACAUGGAGGCCAUAAAAAUGUUAUUUGCCAGUUCGUUAAAAGUAUUGCUUAUGGCAAAAAGAUUGAUCAAUUGACCAGCAUUUAUCGGCAGCGCAAAGAUUUCGAAAUUAAAUAAACAAAAUAAAACGCCUAUGUUCGGCACUGCGAAGACCACACAAACAUACCCAGGUCAAUUGUGAAUAGGAAGUAAUCCGACGUAGAUCAUUAUUGAGAAUUGAAACAAAAGCAUUUACAUAUAGCACUUUUCGCGACGAAUUCUUUCCAUGGAGCUAUGUAAUAUAGUUGUUUGAUCUUGAUCAAAUUCUGAUCAUAUGUUAGCAGCAUAGACUGAGAGACUAGUUUGACUAGUUAGACGGAUAUAAUGUUACGGCUAUUGACACUGGUCGAGGACAAAAGGAACUUAAAGAGUCCUUUUCUGUCUACAAAAAAAUUUAAACGAAAAAUUAAGUGGGGUGUUUUACUCUUGCAGAGAAUAAUUUUUAUAUACUCUUGCAGAGGGUAUUAUAACUUUAUUGUGAAUUGUGAUAGAAGGAGACAUCUCCGACCCCAUAGAGUAUAUAUGUUUUUGAUCAGUAUCAACAGCCGAGUCUGUCCUUCUGUAUGUUUCCCACACAGCCAUCUUUAUGAAACUUUGCAAAAGUACUUCUUUCCGUUGCACGCAGUACUUAAAUCGACACCAGCAGGAUCGGCCUUUAUAUCAUAUAUCUGUUAAAGGAACGAUCGGGUGAAGAGUAGGUUCUUGUAUGAUACCUUGACCAAACUCGGCAUUUAUUAGAUUUACUAUGCUUCCCACAUAUUUGCAAGAUCCUAUCAACAGCGGAUAUAUAUCACAUAGCUGCCAUUGGAACGAUGGGUCGAAAAGUAGGUUCUUGUAUGGAAAACUUUAUUGUUUUUCAAGAUAUCUUAACCAUACCCGGCAUUAACCAUUUUCCGUGAUUCUAAAAUACGGCAAAUCCACUACAAAAAUCAAGAAAAGGUUGGAAGGCCAGAUGAAAUAAUAUGUCUGACAUGUCUAUAUCGAUUCAUAUGUUAAGGCAAAUAAAUAACAUUUAUACUCUA
Non-coding RNA from Drosophila virilis, 3178 nucleotides. The record is from RefSeq and is a predicted model, not a curated record. NCBI's taxonomy places the organism in Eukaryota, Metazoa, Arthropoda, Insecta, Diptera, Drosophilidae.